CAAUGAUUAGCAGCAGGAGAGGACAAAACACCUAAAUGCAAUGCUGAAUAUAAUCAUUUUUGUAUCUGUUUUUGAUUACAGCUGUGCAAAGUCAGACAUCAUCUGCAGUCCCUGACAGGGGCCGUUAUGGAAAAAAGUCAGAAGUCAAGAGCUCCUAACACCCCAGUAGUAUCCUGGAGGGCCUAUGAUAGACGGUGCAGUCCUGUGAUGACCCCAAAGGACCCCACAGGAGACUCCUAGACCUCAGACUGGAUCCCCCCC
Molecule: long non-coding RNA, 261 nt
Organism: Acanthochromis polyacanthus (spiny chromis)
Lineage: Eukaryota; Metazoa; Chordata; Actinopteri; Pomacentridae
Exons: 3
Source: RefSeq, a predicted model, not a curated record